Molecule: ribosomal RNA, 378 nt
Filed under: Sphaerodactylus grandisquamis ateles
Lineage: Eukaryota; Metazoa; Chordata; Lepidosauria; Squamata; Sphaerodactylidae
Description: Sphaerodactylus macrolepis ateles partial 12S ribosomal RNA
Source: RNAcentral
AACCCAUAUAUGUACAUCAUCACUUCCCCCCCUGAGGGACACCCAAAGCGAACAAAGCAUUUUACACCACUAACACGUCAGGUCAAGGUGUAGCUAACGGGGGGGGAGGAGAUGGGCUACAUUCUCAGCCACCUGAGCACACCAACAGCGAUCUGAAACCUACCACCACAAGGCGGAUUUAGCAGUAAACCAGGCAAGCAUGCCUGGUUGAACUAAGCCCUGAGACGCGCACACACCGCCCGUCACCCUCAUCAAAUAAGACCCAAGCCCACCAAGCCUACUUCCCCAAUCAACAACACUCAGAUGAGAUAAGUCGUAACAUGGUAAGUGUACUGGAAAGUGCACUUGAGGAGUAUAUACCGUACUGUGUAGUAUACA